AGCAGCCGCGGUAAUUCCAGCUCCAAUAGCGUAUAUUAAAGUUGUUGCAGUUAAAAAGCUCGUAGUUGAAUUUCGGGAUUGACGUGAUGGUCGUGCCUUACGGGGUAUGAACUGUUGCAGUCAAUUUCUCACCUUCUGGAGAAAUAUGAUGUCCUUAAUUGGGUGUCAUAUGGAACCAGAACUUUUACCUUGAAAAAAUUAGAGUGUUUAAAGCAGGCUUAUUGCUCGAAUACAUUAGCAUGGAAUAAUAAAAUAGGACGGCAUGGUUCUAUUUUGUUGGUUUCUAGGAUCACCGUAAUGAUUAAUAGGGAUAGUUGGGGGCAUUAGUAUUCAAUUGUCAGAGGUGAAAUUCUUGGAUUUAUUGAAGACUAACUACUGCGAAAGCAUUUGCCAAGGAUGUUUUCAUUAAUCAAGAACGAAAGUUAGGGGAUCGAAGACGAUCAGAUACCGUCGUAGUCUUAACCAUAAACUAUGCCGACUAGGAAUCAGACGAUGUUAAUUUUUU
RNAcentral lists this unclassified non-coding RNA (505 nucleotides) under uncultured Entrophospora. RNAcentral's name for it is "SSU rRNA". It matches the Rfam family "Eukaryotic small subunit ribosomal RNA", at positions 569 to 1072 of the family's 1831-position model. Lineage: Eukaryota; Fungi; Glomeromycota; Glomeromycetes; Entrophosporales; Entrophosporaceae. The record is from RNAcentral.